This 253-nucleotide ribosomal RNA is filed under the name uncultured bacterium. RNAcentral describes it as "partial 16S ribosomal RNA". It matches the Rfam family "Bacterial small subunit ribosomal RNA", at positions 524 to 776 of the family's 1533-position model. The record is from RNAcentral.
UACGUAGGGGGCAAGCGUUAUCCGGAUUUACUGGGUGUAAAGGGUGCGUAGGUGGUAAUGCAAGUCAGAUGUGAAAACUCAGGGCUCAACCUUGAGGCUGCAUCUGAAACUGCGUAACUAGAGUGCAGGAGAGGAAAGUGGAAUUCCGAGUGUAGCGGUGAAAUGCGUAGAGAUUCGGAGGAACACCAGUAGCGAAGGCGACUUUCUGGACUGUAACUGACACUGAGGCACGAAAGCGUGGGGAGCGAACAGG